AAUAAUGUAAUAUUUCCGUAGGGCAAAAACGUCUUAACCGGAUAUCGCACAAUACCGGAAGUAUAUGCGAGUUUUCUUCGUUCGUAUAUUAUUAUCGUAAUAGUACUUCACGUAUGCACUCGGGAAAAUCGCUAAAAUAAACCGACGACGACGCUUCUUGCCGGAAAUCUGCGAUGAUUUUCUGCAUGGACUAUUAUUAUUAUAUUUUAUUAAAAUUAAUAGUCCCGAUGAUGUAAAUGUACGGUGGAAUUAUCUAAACUUAAGUCUCAGACUACCUGUGCUGUUCCCGACUUUUCCAAUCGUUGGCAAAAAGUAGAAAUAAAAACAAACUUCGUUUUAAUGUGAGUAAUUAUAAUCAUAGAAUUUUAUUUAAU
Molecule: non-coding RNA, 374 nt
Organism: Cinara cedri
Lineage: Eukaryota; Metazoa; Arthropoda; Insecta; Hemiptera; Aphididae
Source: the annotation of a GenBank genome assembly